RNAcentral lists this ribosomal RNA (600 nucleotides) under uncultured Alphaproteobacteria bacterium. RNAcentral's name for it is "bacterial SSU rRNA". It matches the Rfam family "Bacterial small subunit ribosomal RNA", at positions 54 to 699 of the family's 1533-position model. The record is from RNAcentral. Lineage: Bacteria; Pseudomonadati; Pseudomonadota; Alphaproteobacteria.
CAUGCAAGUUGAACGAAGUAGCAAUACUUAGUGGCAGACGGGUGAGUAACAUGUAGGUAUCUGCCCUUUGGCCUGGAAUAACACGAGGAAACUUGUGCUAAUACCGGAUAAGUCUUUACGGAGAAAGCUUUAUGCACCAUUGGAUGAGCCUGCACUUGAUUAGUUAGUUGGUAGGGUAAUGGCCUACCAAGACUUUGAUCAAUAGCUGAUUUGAGAGGAUGAUCAGCCACAUUGGGACUGAGACACGGCCCAAACUCCUACGGGAGGCAGCAGUGGGGAAUCUUGCACAAUGGAGGAAACUCUGAUGCAGCGAUGCCGCGUGAGUGAAGAAGGCCCUUGGGUUGUAAAGCUCUUUCGUCGGGGAAGAAAAUGACUGUACCCGAAUAAGAAGGUCCGGCUAACUUCGUGCCAGCAGCCGCGGUAAUACGAAGGGACCUAGCGUAGUUCGGAAUUACUGGGCUUAAAGAGUUCGUAGGUGGUUGAAAAAGUUGGUGGUGAAAUCCCAGAGCUUAACUCUGGAACUGCCAUCAAAACUUUUCAGCUAGAGUUUGAUAGAGGAAAGCAGAAUUUCUAGUGUAGAGGUGAAAUUCGUAGAUAUUA